Molecule: long non-coding RNA, 360 nt
Filed under: Manihot esculenta (cassava)
Lineage: Eukaryota; Viridiplantae; Streptophyta; Magnoliopsida; Malpighiales; Euphorbiaceae
Description: long non-coding RNA (MESC_LNC011124)
Source: RNAcentral
UCGAGGGAGAAUCUCAUAGGUGACAAUGUGAUGUACGACUUUAGGUAUGGUAGUGAGGUCACUGGUCAUAAGCCUAGAGGGCUCCUCACGCUCGGUAUCUCCUGAAAUAAUCCUAGUCUGGUGAAGGGAAGAGAUCUCACCAGUGAUCCACUUAUGAGUAGUGGAGACGACAGCCCCAGAGUUACUGAUGCCUAGGUGCUGAGCUAUGAUGGCAGGAGUGAGGUAAACUCGCAGACCAUUAACAAAACUGACCAGGUGGGGGGGAGUGUGACGUGUGAAGGUGUGUAGGUUAGCAUAAAACUCCCUAACUAGCCUAGGGUGAGUGUCUGAGGGAGUGAUCAGAAGAUGCUCCCAACCCUG